ACAAAGGGUGAUGAUGCCGAGCCCAUGGAGACCAUGACCUUCCUUGAUCUUGUCACCAAGGUCUCUAUCCAACACCUGCACAUGCCCACCCACUGUCGUCGCCAAACUGCACAUGAUCAGAGUCAUGAGAAGUGGCACACACUCCCUCUCGAGAUGGUAAUACUCAACAUAGGAGAAGGUUACCUUGAGAUCAGAGAAGGGGAUGGUGACAACGUGGAUGGUCGGCGGUCGCUCCUGCACCUCCUCCUCCUGCAUCUGUAGGGCAGGUUCGCCUGUUCGUCGGACAUUGGUGGCCGGUGCUUGACCUAUG
RNAcentral lists this long non-coding RNA (310 nucleotides) under Zea mays. RNAcentral describes it as "long non-coding RNA (ZMAY_LNC002155)". Lineage: Eukaryota; Viridiplantae; Streptophyta; Magnoliopsida; Poales; Poaceae. The record is from RNAcentral.